RNAcentral lists this ribosomal RNA (253 nucleotides) under uncultured bacterium. Its description in RNAcentral is "partial 16S ribosomal RNA". It matches the Rfam family "Archaeal small subunit ribosomal RNA", at positions 474 to 727 of the family's 1478-position model. The record is from RNAcentral.
UACCAGCACCCCGAGUGGUCGGGACGAUUAUUGGGCCUAAAGCAUCCGUAGCCGGUUUUACAAGUCCUCCGUUAAAUCCAACUGCUUAACAGAUGGGCCGCGGAGGAUACUAUAAGACUAGGAGGCAGGAGAGGCAAGCGGUACUCAGUGGGUAGGGGUAAAAUCCGUUGAUCCAUUGAAGACCACCAGUGGCGAAGGCGGCUUGCCAGAAUGCGCUCGACGGUGAGGGAUGAAGGCGUGGGGAGCGAACGGG